AUGCCAGCUAUUGGCAUGACAUUUGAAAGUGAUGGUCAUGCACACCGAUUCUACAAUGAAUAUUCAGCUAUUGCUAGGUUCUCAAUUCAGAAAGCUGCAAACUAUCACUGCCAGAAAAAAGAUGCACACAACAACAAAAUGACGAGGUUCACUAUGAAGUGUAACAGAUCUGGUAAACUUAGGAUAAGGACAAAACCAACAGCUGUAGGAGCAAAUGCACCAACUGAGCUAGAGAAUACGACAGACAGAAGAAGAAACUACACAAUUAAAACAGGCUGUCAAGCUCAGAUGGUUGUCACCUGGAAAUUUGAUAUAGAACAGUGGGUGGUGGCAAGGCUUAUCAUUGAGCACAACCAUGAUCUGCAUCCACCAGGGGAAGUCAGGUUCCUUAGGUCACACAAAUAUAUCAUUGACCAAGAGAAGGACUUAAUCAGAACUUGCAAACGGGUGAACAUACCAACUAGAAAAAUAAUGUCAAUAAUGGCGUUCUUUCGAGGAAGAGGGCUUUCUUCAUUGCCAUAUACAGCAAAACAGAUUAGCAACAUGGGCACGAAAAUGAGAAGAAAUAACGGCUUGAAUGACAUGAUGCAGGUGGUCUCAUUUUUUGAACAAAAAAAAUCAGAAGACCCUUUGUUCUUCUACUCAUUCAAAACAGAUCCAGCUAAGAAUGUCAUGCAUAUAUUUUGGGCAGAUGGCACUGGUAUAAGGAACUAUCAACAAUAUGGUGAUGUCCUCAGUUUUGACACAACUUACAAAACAAACAAAUACAAUCUGAAGUUUGCUCCUUUUGUGGGUGUAAAUGAACACGGAGACAACUGCCUCUUCGCAUGUGGUUUCAAACAAGAUGAGAAGAAGGAAACUUUUGAGUGGUUAUACAAAACUUUUCUAAAGUGCAUGGGAGGGAAAGCUCCAAAAUCUGUGAUAACAGAUCAAGAUGCAGCAAUGAAAAAGGCAGUGCCUAAGUGUUUUCCUAGUUGCACGCACAGGAACUGUUUGUUCCACAUUCUAACAAAAGCGCAGAACAAAGCUAGAAGAAUAUUUGCAAGGAACCAGCAUUUGAAUGCCCAGUUUCAUGACAUAAUCCUAAACUCACAAACAGCCGACGAGUUCGAGGAACUCUGGCCAAAGAUGAUUCAACAACACAAUGUUCAACAUAUCAAGUACAUUGGAAUUAUGUGGAAAAACAGAAAGAGAUUUGUACCUGCGUACUUCAAAAAUGACUUUUUUCCAUUCAUCCAGACAACAACAAGAAGUGAAGGAACAAAUGUUGUAUUCAAAGCAAAUGUAGGGUCAAGUCAUAGUGUGAUUGCUUUCAUGACAGAGUUUGACAGGAUAUCACAAAGU
RNAcentral lists this ribosomal RNA (1344 nucleotides) under Triticum aestivum (bread wheat). RNAcentral's name for it is "partial small subunit ribosomal RNA". Lineage: Eukaryota; Viridiplantae; Streptophyta; Magnoliopsida; Poales; Poaceae. The record is from RNAcentral.